RNAcentral lists this small RNA (16 nucleotides) under Arabidopsis thaliana (thale cress). Its description in RNAcentral is "ATSL135920". Lineage: Eukaryota; Viridiplantae; Streptophyta; Magnoliopsida; Brassicales; Brassicaceae. The record is from RNAcentral.
CUUAUCAUCAUCAGCA